This is a long non-coding RNA of Mirounga angustirostris (Northern elephant seal), 944 nucleotides long. RefSeq lists it as uncharacterized. The record is from RefSeq and is a predicted model, not a curated record. The transcript is spliced from 3 exons. Lineage: Eukaryota; Metazoa; Chordata; Mammalia; Carnivora; Phocidae.
UGACCUUCGAGUUCUGUAAGUAUCUAGGUAGUGCUGAUGGUUCCUUCCAUGAUACAGUGACGAGGGGAAUUUGCAGGUAUAGAGGUAGAAUAAGAUAUGCCCCCCAAAUAUUUUCUCCAGUGAUUUUUUCCCCAUACUCCUCAGUACAUCACAGUGAGCCUAUCAAUGGCAGCUCCCAUGGUCGUUGUUGAAGUCACAGUAGGUGAUGAUGUGGGCCUAAGUCACAGCACAGACUCUCUGAUCCUCAGAUACCUAGGUCCCUGUGAAGAGAUGAUGAUGAACCUAACACUAGUCAUUGUCUGCGGACAUUUCUGUUACCCAGGUAGGUGAUGAUGUUCACCUUCACCAUUUCAAAUCAUCGGAUUUUCACAUACCAGGUAAGUGUGAAUGAUGGACUAAACUUGCUUGCCAUGUGUUUGUUUGUUUGUUUGUUUUUUCAGAUAAUCAGGUAAGAAAUGAUAGAGUCCUUAACAAUUGUAAUAAGCAUGAGUUUAUACUUUCCACAUGUUAGAGAAAAAUGUAUGUUUAAUCUUGUAAGUAUUGAGGAGUCGAUCCUGUCUAGGCAAUUGUGGUGGAGUGUCACCACAGUGGUAACCAUAGGGUUUUGCCAGGUAUCCAGUCAAGUAGUGUUCGUCUCUUCUGACAACACUGUUGACCUCGAGUAGGUGCGAGGAUGCGGGUGGAGUUGAUGUGUUCCAUAAUAACGGAAGUGAACAAGGAUAGGUGCAGGUGUCUUAGAACAAAUUGGAUCUUAAACUCAUCUGUAUGUGUUUCUUCAGGUCCCUGUGAAGAAAACAGAGUGAACUGAAAAUGGUUUUUAACACAACCUAGCUAGGAACCAGGUAUCAGGUGAAGAUCUUCACUAGUAUGCAGGUAUGAGAUGUGAUAUUAACUGAUUAAAGACCUCUUAUUGUUUUAGGUUUAUUUGUUUAUUUGAGACAGAG